This 61-nucleotide microRNA precursor is filed under the name Oryctolagus cuniculus (rabbit). RNAcentral describes it as "microRNA ocu-mir-12091 precursor". Lineage: Eukaryota; Metazoa; Chordata; Mammalia; Lagomorpha; Leporidae. The record is from miRBase by way of RNAcentral.
UGACAGUCACUGAUGCCUCCACCCUGUGUUAUGUCAGUGAGUGAGACAAGUGACUGUUUGA